CCUAGGGAGGCUGCAGUGGGGAAUAUUGGACAAUGGGCGAAAGCCUGAUCCAGCCAUGCCGCGUGUGUGAAGAAGGCCUUCGGGUUGUAAAGCACUUUCAGUGGGGAAGAAAGCCUUGGGGCUAAUACCCUCGAGGAAGGACAUCACCCACAGAAGAAGCACCGGCUAACUCCGUGCCAGCAGCCGCGGUAAUACGGAGGGUGCGAGCGUUAAUCGGAAUUACUGGGCGUAAAGCGCGCGUAGGCGGUCUGAUAAGCCGGUUGUGAAAGCCCCGGGCUCAACCUGGGAACGGCAUCCGGAACUGUCAGGCUAGAGUGCAGGAGAGGAAGGUAGAAUUCCCGGUGUAGCGGUGAAAUGCGUAGAGAUCGGGAGGAAUACCAGUGGCGAAGGCGGCCUUCUGGACUGACACUGACGCUGAGGUGCGAAAGCGUGGGUAGCAAACAGGAUUAGAUACCCUAGUAGUC
This 464-nucleotide ribosomal RNA is filed under the name Vreelandella stevensii. RNAcentral's name for it is "partial 16S ribosomal RNA". It matches the Rfam family "Bacterial small subunit ribosomal RNA", at positions 338 to 795 of the family's 1533-position model. Lineage: Bacteria; Pseudomonadati; Pseudomonadota; Gammaproteobacteria; Oceanospirillales; Halomonadaceae. The record is from RNAcentral.